AAAAUGCUCCCUCCGUCCGGAAUUACUUGUCGCAGAAAUGGAUAAAAAUGGAUAUAUCUAGAACUAAAGUAAGUCUAGAUACAUCCAUUUCUUCGACAAGUAUUUCCGGACGGAGGGAGUAUAAA
Triticum aestivum (bread wheat) is the source of this 125-nucleotide non-coding RNA. NCBI's taxonomy places the organism in Eukaryota, Viridiplantae, Streptophyta, Magnoliopsida, Poales, Poaceae. The record is from Rfam.